CCUACGGGAGGCAGCAGUGGGGAAUUUUGGACAAUGGGGGAAACCCUGAUCCAGCAAUGCCGCGUGUGUGAAGAAGGCCUUCGGGUUGUAAAGCACUUUUGUCCGGAAAGAAAUCCUAUGAGUUAAUACCUCGUGGGGAUGACGGUACCGGAAGAAUAAGGACCGGCUAACUACGUGCCAGCAGCCGCGGUAAUACGUAGGGUCCAAGCGUUAAUCGGAAUUACUGGGCGUAAAGCGUGCGCAGGCGGUUUUGUAAGACAGGCGUGAAAUCCCCGGGCUCAACCUGGGAAUUGCGCUUGUGACUGCAAAGCUAGAGUAUGUCAGAGGGGGGUAGAAUUCCACGUGUAGCAGUGAAAUGCGUAGAGAUGUGGAGGAAUACCGAUGGCGAAGGCAGCCCCCUGGGACAAAACUGACGCUCAUGCACGAAAGCGUGGGGAGCAAACAGGAUUAGAUACCCUGGUAGUCCACGCCCUAAACGAUGUCAACUGGUUGUUGGACGGCUUGCUGUUCAGUAACGAAGCUAACGCGUGAAGUUGACCGCCUGGGGAGUACGGCCGCAAGGUUGAAACUCAAAUGAAUUGACGG
RNAcentral lists this ribosomal RNA (585 nucleotides) under uncultured bacterium. RNAcentral's name for it is "bacterial SSU rRNA". It matches the Rfam family "Bacterial small subunit ribosomal RNA", at positions 338 to 916 of the family's 1533-position model. The record is from RNAcentral.